UACUAUGAUAGUUGGCAGACAGUCAAGAGAAAAGCAUGUAAUUUUUCUAAUUUUUUUUUUUUUUGAGACAGAGUCUCGCUCUGUCACCCAGGCUGGAGUGCAGUGGCACGAUCUCGGCUCACUGCAAGCUCCGCCUCCUGGGUUCACGCCAUUCUCCUGCCUCAGCCUCCUGAGCAGCUGGUACUACAGGUGCCUGCCACCACGCUUGGCUAAUUUUUUGUAUUUUUAGUAGAGACGGGGUUUCACCGUGUUAGCCAGGAUGGUCUC
This 267-nucleotide long non-coding RNA is filed under the name Homo sapiens (human). Its description in RNAcentral is "non-protein coding lnc-PEX14-3:1". The record is from RNAcentral. Lineage: Eukaryota; Metazoa; Chordata; Mammalia; Primates; Hominidae.